RNAcentral lists this transfer RNA (72 nucleotides) under Anaerolineales bacterium HSG24. RNAcentral describes it as "tRNA-Val". It matches the Rfam family "tRNA". From Rfam's summary of the family: Transfer RNA (tRNA) molecules are approximately 80 nucleotides in length. Their secondary structure includes four short double-helical elements and three loops (D, anti-codon, and T loops). Further hydrogen bonds mediate the characteristic L-shaped molecular structure. tRNAs have two regions of fundamental functional importance: the anti-codon, which is responsible for specific mRNA codon recognition, and the 3' end, to which the tRNAs corresponding amino acid is attached (by aminoacyl-tRNA synthetases). tRNAs cope with the degeneracy of the genetic code in two manners: having more than one tRNA (with a specific anti-codon) for a particular amino acid; and 'wobble' base-pairing, i.e. permitting non-standard base-pairing at the 3rd anti-codon position. The record is from RNAcentral. RNAcentral also lists the same sequence under 1 other name. Lineage: Bacteria; Bacillati; Chloroflexota; Anaerolineae; Anaerolineales.
AGGGCUGUAGCUUAGUGGUAGAGCGUUUCGUUUACACCGAAGAUGUCGGCGGUUCGAGUCCGUCCAGCCCUA